This 287-nucleotide ribosomal RNA is filed under the name uncultured Acholeplasma sp. RNAcentral's name for it is "partial 16S ribosomal RNA". It matches the Rfam family "Bacterial small subunit ribosomal RNA", at positions 1097 to 1382 of the family's 1533-position model. The record is from RNAcentral. Lineage: Bacteria; Bacillati; Mycoplasmatota; Mollicutes; Acholeplasmatales; Acholeplasmataceae.
CGCAACCCUUAUUGUCUAGUUACCAUCAUUCAGUUGGGGACGUCUAGCGAGACUGCCAGUGAUAAACUGGAGGAAGGUGGGGAGUGACGUCAAAUCAUCAUGCCCCUUAUGACCUGGGCUACAAACGUGAUACAAUGGCUGAAACAAAGGGCAGCGAAGCAGUGAUGUGGAGCGAAACCCAAAAAAGCAGUCUCAGUUCGGAUUGAAGUCUGCAACUCGACUUCAUGAAGUCGGAAUCGCUAGUAAUCGCGGAUCAGAACGCCGCGGUGAAUACGUUCUCGGGGUUU